GCUUACACAUGCAGUCGAGCGCCCCGCAAGGGGAGCGGCAGACGGGUGAGUAACGCGUGGGAAUCUACCCUUUUCUACGGAAUAACGCAGGGAAACUUGUGCUAAUACCGUAUAAGCCCUUUGGGGGAAAGAUUUAUCGGGAAAGGAUGAGCCCGCGUUGGAUUAGCUAGUUGGUGGGGUAAAGGCCUACCAAGGCGACGAUCCAUAGCUGGUCUGAGAGGAUGAUCAGCCACAUUGGGACUGAGACACGGCCCAAACUCCUACGGGAGGCAGCAGUGGGGAAUAUUGGACAAUGGGCGCAAGCCUGAUCCAGCCAUGCCGCGUGAGUGAUGAAGGCCCUAGGGUUGUAAAGCUCUUUCACCGGUGAAGAUAAUGACGGUAACCGGAGAAGAAGCCCCGGCUAACUUCGUGCCAGCAGCCGCGGUAAUACCAAGGGGGCUAGCGUUGUUCGGAAUUACUGGGCGUAAAGCGCACGUAGGCGGACAUUUAAGUCAGGGGUGAAAUCCCGGGGCUCAACCCCGGAACUGCCUUUGAUACUGGGUGUCUACACUAUGGAAUACGUGAGUGUAAUUCCUAGUG
RNAcentral lists this ribosomal RNA (579 nucleotides) under bacterium. RNAcentral's name for it is "bacterial SSU rRNA". It matches the Rfam family "Bacterial small subunit ribosomal RNA", at positions 46 to 675 of the family's 1533-position model. The record is from RNAcentral.